Operophtera brumata (winter moth) is the source of this 45-nucleotide non-coding RNA. NCBI's taxonomy places the organism in Eukaryota, Metazoa, Arthropoda, Insecta, Lepidoptera, Geometridae. The record is from Rfam.
CACUAGGCCCUUUUCAGAGCCACAAUUAAAUAAAUUAAUAAAAAA